CCAAAAUCUUUCGCGGGCAAUAUAUCAAUAUUUUCCUUUAACAAUUGCAUAGCUACUAAAGCUAUAUCAACUUUUUUCUUUUUAUUUUUAUUUGUUAAGAACUCAGCUCUAUUUAGCACUAUUUCUCUCAUAUCUGGUUCUGAUGUUUGGAAACCACCAAUUAUACCACCAUAAGUAAUAUUAACAUUCUUUUUUUCUUUCAUUUCUUUAAUCUGUUUGAGUACUAUUAGGCAAGCGCCAUCAAUAAACACAUUCUCCAUUAAGAGAUUCUGAAUUUUUACACUGCUUAAUUUUAUUUUAUUAAGUACUUUUAAAACAUCAUCUGGAGUAAGUGGAUUGUAUGAUAGAUUUAGUGUUACCAACUUUUUUGCCUUUUCUAAAUUUCCUGUCAAAUUUCGUACAGCCUCCGCUGUGAGUUUGUUAUUGCUAAGAUUUAAGAUACGAAGAUUUGGACAUUUUGAAACCGCCUUUAAGGCUCUUCCGAUUCUUCCACUUGAGAGGGAAUUCCAAGAUACAUUUAACUCUUGCAAAAAUUUACUUUCCGCAAGUCGAGAAAAAAGAUUAAGCGUUCCUUCAAUUGGAGUAAAAAGAUUAUUCCAAGAGAGAUCUACACAGGUUAACUUAUUGUAUGUUUCUAAAGCUUCCGCUAAUACGUUUGCAGAUUUACCAGUAAUACUGUUGUAGCUUAGGGAUAUUUCUUUCACAUUAAAGCCGCGAAAAAUUGCUGCUGAUAAAUGUUCUAAGCCCAUAUCACCUAUUUGAUUUUUGUUAAGAUUUAAUACUUGUAGCCCUCUAUUAAAGUGUAAUCCAGCACAUAAUUGCUUUACACCUGUAUGUCCAAGUCUACAUCCCGUGAGGUUUAAUUCCGUUAAAGUAGAAUUGCUUAUAAGCAUUUCACCUAAAUGAAAGCACGCGUCAUCGUUCAAGAAGUUGUCAGUUAGAUUUAAUAUUUUAACAUUCUUAUUAUACUGCAGGGCUAAAGCCAUUGCACGUACUCCAAAUGGAUCCACGCAAUAAUAUCUUAAGUCUAUGGAAUCUUUGAGUAAGCCUUUAAAAAAUGUUCUUACAGGGCAGCGAUUCAUUUCUUUACAGACUGACAUGUAUAAUUCCUGGCCAUCAUCAGGAUAUGAUACUUUUUCUUCUGGAUCAAGUAAAGCUUUCUUGAUACCCGGGUCUAGAACAGCAGGAUAGUUGAAGUAAGGAUGCCUCAGAACAGAACUUGCAGACAUUGCUAUAUAUUUGGUGCAUAUUUCACCACUGCUUGGACUGUACAGGCCUUGUUCAUAUAAAAGUCGCUUGGGGUUCUCCUCAGGAACCUCCAUAAUAAGUGAUGACCAUUCCUCCAUGGGUACAUCCUCUGAGAUAUCGUCAACAAUAGGUUGAUAUACUACCUCGGUCUUUAUUUCAUGUUCUGAAACUUCUGAUGACAUUUUCAGUAUUAAAAUAUAAGCAUCAAAAAUAAAAUAAAUAAAAUAUUUCAAAAUGAUAAAAAGGUUAGUAAAAAUAUUGAAAAAUUUCAGUUAAAUAGACAUCUGUCAAUAAAUUCUAAUAUAAAUAAUAGAAAAUUAAAUUAUCCUGUCAAAAAUAUUACAACAAAAUAGAUUAUAUCAAAAGUUAGGUAAGUUUGAUGUGUUAAUAAACAAAUAAUAACUCUUUGUUAUACUUACUAGAAGAAAAUUAAUAAAACCUUUAUAU
RNAcentral lists this unclassified non-coding RNA (1695 nucleotides) under Melitaea cinxia (Glanville fritillary). RNAcentral's name for it is "misc RNA ENSMCXG00005008463.1". Lineage: Eukaryota; Metazoa; Arthropoda; Insecta; Lepidoptera; Nymphalidae. The record is from RNAcentral.